UGAACCAUGUCGAUUUUACGAGAAAAAUUGUCAAUUUUUAUCAAAAAAUGUCAUUUUUUUUCGCUCGU
This 68-nucleotide transfer RNA is filed under the name Anadara antiquata. Its description in RNAcentral is "tRNA-Asp". Lineage: Eukaryota; Metazoa; Mollusca; Bivalvia; Arcoida; Arcidae. The record is from RNAcentral.